RNAcentral lists this ribosomal RNA (824 nucleotides) under Acanthocardia tuberculata (tuberculate cockle). RNAcentral describes it as "small subunit ribosomal RNA". The record is from RNAcentral. Lineage: Eukaryota; Metazoa; Mollusca; Bivalvia; Cardiida; Cardiidae.
UAGGAGAAUUCGGUUAUGGUUCUGGAUUGGCGUUUCGUAUGUAGUUUACAUUAUGACUCUAAGGGGAGUGAGGGGAAAUUUUUCGGGCAGGGUUCAAUUAAAUUUUAUUUUGCCCUGAAGCCUGUGUACAGGUCAAUCUCUCAGCUAUAGUAUGCAGGUUUGUGUUUGAAUAGAGAUAUUGCUCCAUUAAAGGUUCGAGAAGUGGGUAAUAUUGGUGCCAGCACCAGCGGUUAAACCAAAAUACUUCCAGUCAAUUUAUACGUGGAAAAAGGUAGCAAGAGAAAUUUUUGAGUAUCUUUGACGCUUUUUGUGUAGAAACUGAAGCGUCAAGGCUUCUAUCUUAAGCGGUUCUAUCUGAAGCCUGGAGGUGGAAACAGGGUAAGUCCCUUUAUCAAUGGUUUAACACAUCUACGGCGACUAAAGACUUAAAGGGUUUUAAAGUCAAAAUACUUGGCGGUGCUACGAAUUCGUUCGGGGGAGUUUGGCGGUUAAUUCGAUGACCCUCGAGUACCUUACCUCAUUUUAUUUUUCUAUACAGCCGUUGGUAGUCGUCUUUAAAGAAGUGCGGCUUAAUUCCUUUUGUAACAGGAAGCAAUUCAGGUAAAUGUGGAGAUUAUAUUGAGGCCUUAGCUGAGCUACAAUUUAUAAUAAAGACGAAUGCAGUUUUGAAAUGGAUUGCUGAAGGUGGACUCGACAGUAAAAAGGAUACUAUCAGUGCUUUUUGAAUCGUGGAUCGUGGCGCGUACAAACCGCCCAACACUUCCGUAUUAGAAAAUCGGGAUAAGUUGUAACAUGGUAACGGUAUGCAAACUUGUCGUUUGUAA